This is a long non-coding RNA of Bombus impatiens (common eastern bumble bee), 180 nucleotides long. RefSeq lists it as uncharacterized. The transcript is spliced from 2 exons. The record is from RefSeq and is a predicted model, not a curated record. NCBI's taxonomy places the organism in Eukaryota, Metazoa, Arthropoda, Insecta, Hymenoptera, Apidae.
GGAUGAACUCGAAAGAUUUCCAGUCGAAACAUUGUACUUGCAUCUCUUUAUCCAGAUAGGGUACGGACAAAUUCAUCCCAGUCGUAAUCUGAAACAUAGUGACGAAUCGUAAUCGAUGAAGACAAAUUCCUCUUCUCGUGGAAUCUUUCUUCUGGAGAUUCGAAACAACGAUAGGAGUCC